RNAcentral lists this transfer RNA (72 nucleotides) under Mesocricetus auratus (golden hamster). It matches the Rfam family "tRNA". Rfam says of the family: Transfer RNA (tRNA) molecules are approximately 80 nucleotides in length. Their secondary structure includes four short double-helical elements and three loops (D, anti-codon, and T loops). Lineage: Eukaryota; Metazoa; Chordata; Mammalia; Rodentia; Cricetidae. The record is from Rfam by way of RNAcentral.
GGCGCCCAAGUGUAAUGGUUAGAACUCUGGACUCUGAAUCCAGCAAUCUGAGUUCAAAUCUCGGUGGAACCU